CCUGUCUCUUGAGGCCCGCCAACGAAAUUGAAUAACCAGUACAAAAGCUGGUAUUUUUUAGCAAGACAAAAAGACCCCGUGGAACUUUAACAAAUUAUUAAUAACAUUUAAUAAAAGUUUCGGUUGGGACAACCACAGAAAAACCAAACUUCCAAAUUAAACAAGACCAACAAGUCCAAUAUAGUGACCCAGUCAGACUGAUCAAUGAAACAAGCUACCCCGGGGAUAACAGCGCCACCUUCUAGAAGAGUUCAUAUCAACAAGAAGACCUACGACCUCGAUGUUGGAUCAGGAUACCCAGGCGGUGUAGCAGCUGUCAAAGGUUCGUUUGUUCAACGAUUAAAAUCCUACGUGAUCU
Molecule: ribosomal RNA, 358 nt
Filed under: Brookesia karchei
Lineage: Eukaryota; Metazoa; Chordata; Lepidosauria; Squamata; Chamaeleonidae
Description: partial large subunit ribosomal RNA
Rfam family: Bacterial large subunit ribosomal RNA
Source: RNAcentral